CGAUGUACACUAGUUGUUGUGAGGCUCGACCUUGCAGUAAUGCAGUUAACACAUUAAGUGUACCGCCUGGGGAGUACGGUCGCAAGAUUAAAACUCAAAGGAAUAGACGGGGACCCGCACAAGCGGUGGAGCAUGUGGUUUAAUUCGACGAUACACGAAGAACCUUACCUGGACUUGACAUAGUAAGAACUUUCUAGAGAUAGAUUGGUGUCUGCUUGCAGAAACUUAUAUACAGGUGCUGCACGGCUGUCGUCAGCUCGUGUCGUGAGAUGUUGGGUUAAGUCCCGCAACGAGCGCAACCCUCGUCGUUAGUUGCUAACAGUUCGGCUGAGAACUCUAGCGAGACUGCCUACGCAAGUAGGAGGAAGGUGAGGACGACGUCAAGUCAUCAUGGCCCUUACGUCCAGGGCUACACACGUGCUACAAUGGGGUAUACAAAGAGCAGCAAUACGGUGACGUGGAGCAAAUCUCAAAAAUAUCUCCCAGUUCGGAUUGUAGUCUGCAACUCGACUACAUGAAGUUGGAAUCGCUAGUAAUCGUAGAUCAGCUAUGCUACGGUGAAUACGUUCCCGGGUCUUGUACUCACCGCCCGUCACACCAUGGGAGUUGAACUCAUUCGAAGCGGGGAUGCUAAAAUAGCUACCUUCCACAGUGGAUUCAGCGACUGGGGUGAAGUCGUAACAAGGUAACC
RNAcentral lists this ribosomal RNA (691 nucleotides) under uncultured bacterium. Its description in RNAcentral is "bacterial SSU rRNA". It matches the Rfam family "Bacterial small subunit ribosomal RNA", at positions 807 to 1501 of the family's 1533-position model. The record is from RNAcentral.